AACAUGGAGAGUUUGAUCCUGGCUCAGGAUGAACGCUGGCGGUAUGCUUAACACAUGCAAGUCGAACGGUGUCUUCGGACAUAGUGGCGGACGGGUGAGUAACGCGUGAGAAUCUGCCUUCAGGAUGGGG
This 130-nucleotide ribosomal RNA is filed under the name Pantanalinema sp. GBBB05. Its description in RNAcentral is "partial 16S ribosomal RNA". It matches the Rfam family "Bacterial small subunit ribosomal RNA", at positions 1 to 142 of the family's 1533-position model. Lineage: Bacteria; Bacillati; Cyanobacteriota; Cyanophyceae; Leptolyngbyales; Leptolyngbyaceae. The record is from RNAcentral.